UAAAGGUGAAAUAGUGGCAGGGGAGUCUGGGCCUCCCGACGGCAUGCUGUCUGCCUAUGUGGAGCGGACACGGUCAGUGAGAACAACAGACCAGCUCUUCGUCUCACUGGAUUGUGGACACGAUUACGACAGCAUACUGUCUGACCGGCAGGCCAGUGCUGAGAUCUGUGGUGGCACAUUCAACACGAGGUGUGAUUAUCUCCUGGGCUCUACUGAGAGGAGUGCCUGUCCACAAUGUAGAAAACAGCAUCGGACACAUCAACAGGUUGUUCUUUGACAUUCAUGGUGAAGAAGAGGGAUCCUCUGCUGAUCCAGAGAGUUUGCAGAGACUCGAGGGACAGACUGAAGAUAGUAGAGGGCUUGAAGGAGGCUGUGAACAGGCAGAAGAAAGACCUGGACAUUGUGAGGAAGGAGAUUGAAGAGAAAGAGAUGCUCAGCUCACAGGGAUGAACUACCUGGAGAACCAGCAAUGUGAGACCCAGGCUGCCAAGGAGGAGGCCCGAUGACUCCGGACCAAAAUGAAAACACAUGAGAGUCUGGAUGUGAUGUUGCAGAAUCAGAGAACGGAGGAGUCCAUGAUCACUGACAUGGGUGUUGGCCAGGCUGCAUGUGGAGCAGCUUUCCAUCUACUGCAUUUCUCUCAAGAA
This is a long non-coding RNA of Oncorhynchus gorbuscha (pink salmon), 647 nucleotides long. RefSeq lists it as uncharacterized. The transcript has 5 exons. Lineage: Eukaryota; Metazoa; Chordata; Actinopteri; Salmoniformes; Salmonidae. The record is from RefSeq and is a predicted model, not a curated record.